This 501-nucleotide ribosomal RNA is filed under the name uncultured bacterium. RNAcentral's name for it is "partial 16S ribosomal RNA". It matches the Rfam family "Bacterial small subunit ribosomal RNA", at positions 29 to 507 of the family's 1533-position model. The record is from RNAcentral.
ACGAACGCUGGCGGCGUGCUUAACCCCUGCAAGUCGCACGGUGAAGGGGCCUGCUUUUGUGGGCCCUGGAUGAGUGGCGAACGGGUGAGUAACACGUGAGUAACCUGCCCCCUUCUUCUGGAUAACCGCAUGAAAGUGUGGCUAAUACGGGAUAUUCUGGGUCUGUCGCAUGAUGGGUCUGGGAAAGAUUGCGCCUUUGGGUGUUUUUGGUGGGGGAUGGGCUCGCGGCCUAUCAGCUUGUUGGUGGGGUGAUGGCCUACCAAGGCGGUGACGGGUAGCCGGCCUGAGAGGGUGGACGGUCACACUGGGACUGAGACACGGCCCAGACUCCUACGGGAGGCAGCAGUGGGGAAUAUUGCACAAUGGGCGCAAGCCUGAUGCAGCGACGCCGCGUGAGGGAUGGAGGCCUUCGGGUUGUAAACCUCUUUCGCCAGUGAAGCAGGCCUGCUCCUUGUGGGUGGGUUGACGGUAGCUGGAUAAGAAGCGCCGGCUAACUACGUG